Long non-coding RNA from Lates calcarifer (barramundi perch), 1046 nucleotides. RefSeq lists it as uncharacterized. The transcript has 7 exons. The record is from RefSeq and is a predicted model, not a curated record. Lineage: Eukaryota; Metazoa; Chordata; Actinopteri; Centropomidae.
CUGACAUGUGGACAGCAGGGGGCAUAAUUUCAUCGUUUGUUGAGGUACCAGCUGAGAGGUCAGGGGGCGCUGGGACAAUACAGGAAGAAAACACUGCGCGCUGUUUGGCUGGGAAUGCUUGCUGCUGCUAUUGACGAUGAUGCCUCAUCCAGCCGAGGAGGACGACCCCAACCAGCCUCUGUGUGGCAACUUGUUUCCUCUUUCUGCUGUAAGGGAAUGAUCGAAGGCAUCAUCUUGCCGCUCUUUCCCUGAAUCCUCAAUCAUGUUCCUUUCGUCAAGAAUUUGUAAGAACAUAGAUGACUGGGUUCAACAUGGGAGGAAUGACAGAGAACAUAGAUGACUGGGUUCAACAUGGGAGGAAUGACAGAGAACAUAGAUGACUGGGUUCAACAUGGGAGGAAUGACAGAGAACAUAGAUGACUGGGUUCAACAUGGGAGGAAUGACAGAGUUACUGUGUAGUGGACACAGCAUGACUGCAGGCAGGAGAAGCAGGGAGGAGGAGAGGAAAACAACUAUACGGGAGUUCAGUGAAGGCAACGCAAGUACAAGUUCAUCUUUUAACUUUUUAAUGAUUUUUAGCAAAUAAAAAGUUCUCUUAUAUUGUGCUGUGAAAAAGAUAUUUUUUUAAAUUCAAAACUGUCCUUACAGUAAUGCAGCAUCUCAGUUUCUUUAGUGUGUCAUUUAAAAAGUACGAGGCCCAACACAUUCCCUCAAACUGCACUCCAUGUUCCGCGCUGUUUUUCCUGCUGCACUUAGGCCCACUGACCUCAAACUGGACAAGUGACUCAACACAUGGUAGACAUAAAAAAAAUUGAUGCAAUUCUGUUUUAUUUUUGUUGCAUUAAGACUUCAUCAGCUCGAAAGUUUAAGUGAGCGAAAAAUAAAGGAGCCAUUGCUUAUUCUCUUUCAGCUCAGCUGAUUCUGUCUCAACUGACAAGUAAAAUAAUCUGCUGUGAGUUCAUUUUGAGAGGCAUCAACAGACUUCAUCAAGCUCUAAUCUGUUGCCUGUCAACUCACAAGAAACACACUUCCACACACAGUUCAG